Molecule: long non-coding RNA, 1869 nt
Filed under: Homo sapiens (human)
Lineage: Eukaryota; Metazoa; Chordata; Mammalia; Primates; Hominidae
Description: non-protein coding lnc-ZSWIM7-2:2
Source: RNAcentral
GCCCUGCCCCGGCGGGGGGUCAGGAUCCUCCACAGUUCCUGAUGAAUAUCUGUUAUCGCUGAAGUUUCUCUUUGGCUCAUCAGCCACCCAGGCCUUGGACCUAGUUGAUCGACAGUCCAUCACCUUAAUCUCAUCACCCAGUGGAAGGCGUGUUUACCAGGUCCUUGGAAGUUCCAGUAAAACAUACACAUGUUUGGCUUCUUGUCAUUACUGUUCAUGUCCUGCAUUUGCAUUCUCAGUGCUACGGAAGAGUGACAGCAUCCUGUGCAAGCAUCUCUUGGCAGUUUACCUGAGUCAGGUUAUGAGGACCUGUCAGCAGCUAAGUGUCUCUGACAAGCAGUUGACUGACAUAUUAUUGAUGGAGAAGAAACAAGAAGCAUAAAAGGUACAGAUUGAGCAUCAUUCUUUCAAAAUAGAAUCCUGUCAAGAAAUGCAUUGAAAGCGUCAUGAUUCACAUGGAAAAGAGGUGAAAUGGAUCUUCAGACACUUCAUGUUACUGUCCCUUUUCCCUCCAGGACUGCAGGAGGUGCUGUGGGUUGGAGCCGUGGGCUGUGGAGGGUUUGUGUAUGAUGAGAAGCCCUGUACAGUCUUGUCAAGAAAUACCCUGAGCCAGUCUCUGAGACGCUUCGGUAAAAAAUGUCCCUGGAUGGAAUCAAGAUUUUAAAUUCAAAUAAAGCCUAAUAUCAUGUUGUGUCCACAUUAUUUAGUCUUUUUUUUUUUCUUUUGAGAUGGAGUCUCACUUUGUCGCCCAGGCUGGGGUGCAGUGGCGUGAUCUCAGCUCACUGCAAGCUCCGCCUCCCGGGUUCACGCCAUUCUCCUGCCUCAGCCUCCCGAGUAGCUGGGACUACAGGUACCCGCCACCAUGCCCGGCUAAAUUUUUGUAUUUUUUUUUUAGUAGAGAUGGGGUUUCACCGUGUUAGCCAGGAUGGUCUCCAUCUCCUGACCUAGUGGUCUGCCCGCCUCGACCUCCCAAAGUGCUGGAAUUACAUGCAUGAGCCACUGCGCCUGACCCUAUUUAGUCUUAAGUAACUAACUGAAUUACUAGUAAUUUUUAAAAGGUUGGAAUGGUGGGCCAAACAGUAAGAUGAAGUUUCGACGAGUAGGUCAGUUCUUUUCCUUGGGUCCAGGAAACUAUUGAGCAGCAACAGAAGAUCAGAGCAGAGAUGUGGCUAAACAGUAGCAGGUAUGAAAAGACUUAGAGGUUCUGGUUUCUGUAAGCUUCAAAUAUCUGUGAUGCUUGUGCCAAAACAGCUUAAGUAGACUGUAUUGUUUGAGAGUUAGUAUCGAGAACAAGGGAAGAACUGGUUUCACUCUGCACUUCUGAUCUUUACAACAGGGCAAUUGAAGGAACAGACUAAAAAUCGUGUCCUGGAAGGAAACUACAGGUACUACCAGGGAUUUUCAGUCUGAAGAAGAAAAGACAAAAUAGAUGACAGAAGGAGUAUUAGAAGGGAGAGCGAUGAGACUCAGUUGGACACCGAGAGAGCAAAGAAGCAAUAAUACGUGAAGAUGAAAAUGAAAUCAAUUUCAGCAUAAGAAGACAAGAACUUAUGGUAAAGCUGCCCACAGCCAGAAGAGGAUCCUAGAAGGACAGGAAUUCCCUGUCUGCAGCAUUUCAUAAGCAUGUAAUAUUGUUGCAGGGAUACUGCAGAAGGAGUUGAAGCAGUGGACAGACAGAUGAUAUAGGUGAUUUUACAGCCUAAGAAAGCCCUGUGCUUGUGCCCCCAAAACAUGAGGUGCUAGUGAAUGAAUGCUGGGGGAAAGCCCAGGGCCUAGGUGUUGCAAUGUUCUGUGGUUGGCAGAUGCUUUUUGUUUUGUUAAAAAGUGCAACAGAUAAAAUUUAUCAAUACUUUUCUGCUACUCAGGAAA